GCCGAAGUAGCUCAGGUGGUAGAGCAACUGAUUCGUAAUCAGUGGGUCGGGGGUUCAAGUCCUCUCUUCGGCA
Molecule: transfer RNA, 73 nt
Filed under: Holosporales bacterium
Lineage: Bacteria; Pseudomonadati; Pseudomonadota; Alphaproteobacteria; Holosporales
Description: tRNA-Thr
Rfam family: tRNA
About the family: Transfer RNA (tRNA) molecules are approximately 80 nucleotides in length.
Source: RNAcentral